CCUACGGGGGGCUGCAGUGGGGAAUAUUGGACAAUGGGGGGAACCCUGAUCCAGCGACGCCGCGUGAGUGAAGAAGUAUUUCGGUAUGUAAAGCUCUAUCAGCAGGGAAGAAAAUGACGGUACCUGACCAAGAAGCCCCGGCUAACUACGUGCCAGCAGCCGCGGCAAUACGUAGGGGGCAAGCGUUAUCCGGAUUUACUGGGUGUAAAGGGGGCGUAGACGGUGCAGCAAGUCUGAUGUGAAAGGUCGGGGCCCAACCCCGGGACUGCAUUUGAAACUGUUGAACUGGAGUACAGGAGGGGUAGGCGGAAUUCCUGGUGUAGCGGUGAAAUGCGUAGAUAUUAGGAGGAACACCAGUGGCGAAGGCAGCUUACUAAACUGCCACUGACAUUGAUGCUCGAAAGUGUGGGUAUCAAACAGGAUUAGAUACCCGAGUAGUC
Molecule: ribosomal RNA, 440 nt
Filed under: uncultured bacterium
Lineage: Bacteria
Description: partial 16S ribosomal RNA
Rfam family: Bacterial small subunit ribosomal RNA
Source: RNAcentral